CAGUUGAUAAGGAUCAGUAGUGGGUCUACUCUGGACAGUUGAUAAGGAUCAUUAGUGGGUCUACUCUGGAAAUUGAUAAGGAUCAGUAGUGGGUCUACUCUGGACAGUUUAUAGAAAGGCAUAGUACAUGACCGCCUGGAUGGAUUUUUACGUGUGAUGUUGAUAUGCUGUAGGUGGCGGAUCGUCAUUCUCCCAUAGGUCCAUAGGUCUAUGCUCCCAGCAGGUCCGUUAUUCAGAUCCGUUAUUCAGGCACGCUUAUCACACGUUCUGCCUCCUCUCCGAUCCAAGUGGCUUUUCCUCGACCUAGAACCUAACACUUCAAAAUAUAGCUUCAAUAUUUUUCAUUUCACUUUUAAAAUGUAUGAGCCUUUUUAUGUGUGGCAAUAAACACAACGAGUCACAAUGUUUUCAUAUGAUGAAGGCUACUUCUAAAGUCUCGUUCCAUGGUGGACAGACAGGGAGAGUCUCGUUCCAUGGUGGACAGGCAGGGAGAGUCUCGUUCCAUGGUGGACAGCAAACCCUCAACCUUCUGGCCUGUUGGCCCUGCGUGACAUCAACUGUGUCACAAAAGAAUGCUGAAGUUGCAAAGUCGAUAUGUCCACGUUUAUAAACGCAGGCUUGCUACAGUUAUCGUAUAUUUAUGGUGGUAACCAUCAUUUUUGUACAUUGUUUGGUAUGUUUCAUGUUGUUUUCUCUUCAUGUAUUUAUUAGGGUGUUUGGUAGAGCAGCAAGUCAACUGGACUUCCUUAGUGGUUACCUGGGUUGUUUCCAGACACGUUGUCAUGGUGAUACCGGUGUAAAUAGCUGACUGGACAUUGAUCUGAUUUAAUGAGUACGAGAGUGUAUUCACUAGGAAAUAAACGGAAGCAAAACAGGACACUUGGAUCUACCUGAAAUGUGUCAAAUAGAAAUGAGUUUGCACAAAUGAAUACAUCCCAUGCCACAUGAUUCAGGUUUCUAUCUGUAACACUGGUUACACCACUGUAAAACGUUUGCACAAAUGAAUACAUCCCAUGCCACAUGAUUCAGGUUUCUAUCUGUAACACUGGUUACACAACUGUAAAACGUUUGCACAAAUGAAUACAUCCCAUGCCACAUGAUUCAGGUUGUAUCUGUAACACUGGUUACACCACUGUAAAACGUUUGCACUAAUGAAUACAUCCCAUGCCUCAUGAUUCAGGUUGUAUCUGUAACACUGGUUACACCACUGUAAAACGUUUGCACAAAUGAAUACAUCCCAUGCCACAUGAUUCAGGUAACACUUUGGUUAUACCACUGUAAUGAGUUUGGGGAAAGGCUGUGGCUUUCUUCAUUCUUAUUUUGUAUUUUUGUUUUUCUGCUCUCAAGUUGUGAAUAUUUUUUUAUUUUAUUGAAAGCCAGCGAGAAUGUGCACAAAUCAGCUUUCAAGACUACACCCAAUGAUAACUAAAUAGAUCUUAGGAUUUAGAAUCUAUUGAAGAGAUGUAGGUGGAAAAUGUUGUUUUCUUCUGUCAUGAAAUGUACAGUGCCUUCGGAAAGUAUUCAGACCCCUUGACUUUUUUCCACAUUUUGUAACGUAACAACCUUAUUCUAAAAUUAUUAUUUUUUUAAAUAGUUUCCUCAAUCUACACACAAUAGCUCAUAAUGACAAAGCAAAAACAGGUUUUUAGACAUUUUUUUUCUUCUAAUUUAUUAAAAAUAAAAUUGAAAUAUCACAUUUACAUAAGUAUUCAGACCCUUUAGUCAGUACUUUAUUGUACUUCACCUUUGGCAGAAAUUACAACAUCAAGUCUUGUUGGGUGUGAUGCUACAAGCUUGGCACACCUGUAUUUGGGGAGUUUCUCCCAUUCUUCUCUGCAGAUCCUCUCAAGCUCUGUCAGGUUAAAUGGGGAGCGUCGCUGCACAGCUAUUUUCAGGUCUCUCCAGAGAUGUUCGAUCGGGUUCAAGUCCCGCCACUACCAUGCUUCACCGUAGGGAUGGUGCCAGGUUUCCUCCAGACGUGAUGCUUGGCAUUCAGGCCAAAGAGUUCAAUCUUGGUUUCAUCAGACCAUAGAAUCUUGUUUCUCAUGGUCUGAGAGUCCUUUAGGUGCCUUUUGGUAAACUCUAAUGUAAAUGUGAAUAAGGUAUUUCUGUUUUGUAAAUCUUUUUACAUUUGCCCAAACUUCAAAAACACUGUUUUUGCUUUGUCAUUAUGGGGUAUUGUGUAUAGAUUGCUGAGGAUUUUUAUUUAUUUAAUCAAUUUUAGAAUAAGGCUGUAAUGUAACAAAAUGUGGAAAAAAGUAAAGGGGUCUGAAUACAUUCCAAAGGCACUGUGUACUUCCUAAAUUGCACCCUAUUCCCUUUCUAGUGCACUACUUUUGACCAGGGUAGUGCACUAUAAAAGGACUAUGGUGCCAUUUGGGAUGGACAAUAUAUUGUAAUAUUUUGUAUUUGUUGAAGGAAUGAUAUGAUUGGACUUUGUAAAAAUGCUUCCUUUUUUGUAUCUGCUUCUUUUGUAGAAUCAAAUGGAACAUGUUUAAUAUAUUUGUCAAAAGAUGAUAGAUUUUAUGUUCUGUGGUGUGUUUUAUUUUAGAUUUUAGUGUGGCGUCAUUGUGGGAAAUGUUCUU
RNAcentral lists this long non-coding RNA (2585 nucleotides) under Salmo salar (Atlantic salmon). Its description in RNAcentral is "lncRNA (ENSSSAG00000102167.1, ENSSSAG00000108473.1)". Lineage: Eukaryota; Metazoa; Chordata; Actinopteri; Salmoniformes; Salmonidae. The record is from RNAcentral.